RNAcentral lists this ribosomal RNA (1143 nucleotides) under Triticum aestivum (bread wheat). RNAcentral's name for it is "partial small subunit ribosomal RNA". Lineage: Eukaryota; Viridiplantae; Streptophyta; Magnoliopsida; Poales; Poaceae. The record is from RNAcentral.
AUGGAGAUUGUGGCGACGGCUUUUGUCGGUCGUGUCGCACUGAAGCUGUUCGCGUUUCUAGAUGGAAAUUACAAGCUACGACGGAACCUGGAGCAUGAUAUCCAGCGCAUCCGGAUGGAGUUGGACAUGAUCGAUGCCGCCAUCCACGACCACGACGGCCGUCGCUCGAGCAGCCAGGUGCAGACCGCCUGGAUACAGCUCGCGCGCGAGCUGGGCCACAGCAUCGACGACUGCAUCGACCGCUUUUCCCACCGCCUGGCCAAGGACGCCGCCGCGUCGCCGCUCCGCAAGACCGUCAGCAGGCUGAAGACGGCGCCGAUCCGCACGGAGUUCGCCGCAGAGAUCCGGAAGAUCAGGAAGAUAUCGGAAGAGGUGUCCAAGCUGAGAGAGUGCUACGGCGGCGGCGAGUCCAGCACCUCGGAGGCAUCCGCACCGGGCGCCCUCUCCGAGGAGGUGCACGCACUUGCGGCCGACCUCGUGGGUAUGGACGCGCCCCGCGACGAGCUUCUGGAUCUGAUAAGGGACACCGAGGGCCAGCCUAAGCAGCUCAAGGUGGUCUCCAUUGUCGGCUUCGGAGGUUCGGGAAAGACUCUUCUUGCUAGGGAGGUGUACGAGAGCGAUACCGUGGUAUGCCAGUACAAAGCACGGGCCUGGGUUCGUGCGGCGCACAAAGGCGCGGUGGAUGUUCUCAAGGAGAUCCUCGAGGAGCUUGGGGUGCAGGUAACCGGGGAUGCUAGGAAGCUCAGCACAAAUCUCAGAAAAUGCCUCGAGUCAAAAAAGUUCUUCAUUGUUAUUGAUGACAUGAGAACGGAACUUUGGAAUACCAUGAAAAAUUCUUUCCCUGCAGUGAUGGGAGUGAGCAGCAGAGUUGUGGUGACGACACCCAUUCAGUACAUAGCAAAUGCCUGCAGCUCUGCUCACGGUCAUGUGUACGCAAUGAGAACUCUUAGCGAGGAUCUCUCAAGACAGUUGUUCCUCAAAGAAGCUUCCUUGGAGGAUUCAUCGCCUAGUAAUGAGCUCGGUUCAGAAGCACUAAAGAAAUGCGAUGGUCUGCCACUUGCUCUCGUUACCACAGCCCAGUUCUUGCAGAGCAGAGGUGAUCCGACAUGGACAGUGGGCAAGGUUGUGCAACAACCUGGGUGA